RNAcentral lists this ribosomal RNA (497 nucleotides) under uncultured bacterium. Its description in RNAcentral is "partial 16S ribosomal RNA". It matches the Rfam family "Bacterial small subunit ribosomal RNA", at positions 28 to 507 of the family's 1533-position model. The record is from RNAcentral.
GAUGAACGCUGGCGGCGUGCCUAAUACAUGCAAGUCGAGCGAACGGACGAGAAGCUUGCUUUUCUGAUGUUAGCGGCGGACGGGUGAGUAACACGUGGAUCACCUACCUAUAAGACUGGGAUAACUUCGGGAAACCGGCUCUAAUACCGGAUCAUAUUUUGAACCGCAUGGUUCAAAAGUAAAAGACGGUUUUGCCGUCACUUAUAGAUGGAUCCGUGGUGCAUUAGCUAGUUGGUAAGGUAACGGCAUACCAAGGCAACGAUGCAUAGCCGACCUGAGAGGGUGAUCGGCCACACUGGAACUGAGACACGGUCCAGACUCCUACGGGAGGCAGCAGUGGGGAAUCUUCCGCAAUGGGCGAAAGCCUGACGGAGCAACGCCGCGUGAGUGAUGAAGGUCUUCGGAUCGUAAAACUCUGUUAUUGGGGAAGAACAUAUGUAUAAGUAACUGUGCACAUCUUGACGGUACCUAAUCAGAAAGCCACGGCUAACUACGUG